This 450-nucleotide ribosomal RNA is filed under the name uncultured bacterium. RNAcentral describes it as "bacterial SSU rRNA". It matches the Rfam family "Bacterial small subunit ribosomal RNA", at positions 354 to 796 of the family's 1533-position model. The record is from RNAcentral.
GUGGGGAAUUUUGGACAAUGGGGGAAACCCUGAUCCAGCCAUUCCGCGUGAGUGAAGAAGGCCUUCGGGUUGUAAAGCUCUUUCAGCUGGAACGAAACGGUACGCUCUAACAUAGCGUGCUAAUGACGGUACCAGCAGAAGAAGCACCGGCUAACUACGUGCCAGCAGCCGCGGUAAUACGUAGGGUGCGAGCGUUAAUCGGAAUUACUGGGCGUAAAGCGUGCGCAGGCGGAUUGUUAAGCAAGACGUGAAAUCCCCGGGCUUAACCUGGGAAUGGCGUUUUGAACUGGCAGUCUAGAGUGUGUCAGAGGGGGGUAGAAUUCCACGUGUAGCAGUGAAAUGCGUAGAGAUGUGGAGGAAUACCAAUGGCGAAGGCAGCCCCCUGGGAUAACACUGACGCUCAUGUACGAAAGCGUGGGUAGCAAACAGGAUUAGAUACCCCAGUAGUCC